GUGGAUUAGAUACCCUGGUAGUCCACGCUGUAAACGAUGGGCACUAGGUGUUGGAGGUAUUGACCCCUUCAGUGCCGUAGCUAACGCAUUAAGUGCCCCGCCUGGGGAGUACGCUCGCAAGGGUGAAACUCAAAGGAAUUGACGGGGGCCCGCACAAGCGGUGGAGCAUGUGGCUCAAUUCGAUGCAACGCGAAGAACCUUACCCGGGUUUGACAUGUGCCUGUAAAGCGUAGAGAUACGCUCCCUCGCAAGAGCAGGUACACAGGUGCUGCAUGGCUGUCGUCAACG
Molecule: ribosomal RNA, 288 nt
Filed under: uncultured bacterium
Lineage: Bacteria
Description: partial 16S ribosomal RNA
Rfam family: Bacterial small subunit ribosomal RNA
Source: RNAcentral